RNAcentral lists this unclassified non-coding RNA (345 nucleotides) under soil metagenome. RNAcentral's name for it is "partial contains 5.8S ribosomal RNA, internal transcribed spacer 2, and large subunit ribosomal RNA". The stretch from base 1 to 119 matches the Rfam family "5.8S ribosomal RNA", at positions 35 to 154 of the family's 154-position model. The record is from RNAcentral.
GAUGAAGAACGCAGUGAAAUGCGAUACGUAAUGUGAAUUGCAAAUUCAGUGAAUCAUCGAGUCUUUGAACGCACAUUGCGCCCCCUGGUAUUCCGGGGGGCAUGCCUGUCCGAGCGUCAUUGCUGCCCUCAAGCACGGCUUGUGUGUUGGGCCCCGUCCUCCGAUCCCGGGGGACGGGCCCGAAAGGCAGCGGCGGCACCGCGUCCGGUCCUCGAGCGUAUGGGGCUUUGUCACCCGCUCUGUAGGCCCGGCCGGUGCUUGCCGAUCAACCCAAAUUUUUAUCCAGGUUGACCUCGGAUCAGGUAGGGAUACCCGCUGAACUUAAGCAUAUCAAUAAGCGGAGGA